RNAcentral lists this small nuclear RNA (238 nucleotides) under Homo sapiens (human). RNAcentral's name for it is "snRNA-7SK_RNA-related". It matches the Rfam family "7SK RNA", at positions 1 to 240 of the family's 331-position model. Rfam says of the family: 7SK was discovered as an abundant small nuclear RNA in the mid-70s but a possible function has only recently been suggested. Two independent studies have found that 7SK RNA binds the CDK9/cyclin T complex (known as elongation factor P-TEFb). Lineage: Eukaryota; Metazoa; Chordata; Mammalia; Primates; Hominidae. The record is from RNAcentral.
GUAUGUGAAAGCAAUCUGACUGCAACAUCUGUCAACUCAUUCAUCACCAGGGUUGAUUUGGCAGAUCACUGGCUAUGCAGAGAUCCCCUUCCUCCUUCACUGCUUCACGUGCUUUUCUCCUGAAGCUGAGCACUUAGUUGAAGAGGAUGACGUUCCUCAAUAGAGGAGUACCAUUCUGUGAUCAAGGGUACACAAGUAGCUGCACUUCCCUGAUAGAAUCUCCAAACAUGAUCUCAAG